UCCCUGGUGGUUCAGUGGUGAGGACUCUGUGCUCCCAGUGCAGGGGGCCCAGGUUCGACCCCUGGUUGGGAAA
This 73-nucleotide transfer RNA is filed under the name Bos taurus (domestic cattle). It matches the Rfam family "tRNA". Rfam says of the family: Transfer RNA (tRNA) molecules are approximately 80 nucleotides in length. Their secondary structure includes four short double-helical elements and three loops (D, anti-codon, and T loops). Lineage: Eukaryota; Metazoa; Chordata; Mammalia; Artiodactyla; Bovidae. RNAcentral also lists the same sequence under 4 other names. The record is from Rfam by way of RNAcentral.